Erpetoichthys calabaricus (reedfish) is the source of this 445-nucleotide long non-coding RNA. RefSeq lists it as uncharacterized. The transcript is spliced from 3 exons. The record is from RefSeq and is a predicted model, not a curated record. NCBI's taxonomy places the organism in Eukaryota, Metazoa, Chordata, Cladistia, Polypteriformes, Polypteridae.
UGAGCUUAAGUCACUAGCACCUUCAUCUUAUGUACUGGGUGAAUCUCUUUUAAAACUGUUCUGUGCUAUGUACGGGUGAGUAGAGGGAGAGAGAGACAGCACACUCCCAACAGGAAGGCUACAGGGACAGUACUACCUAGGUGAAGUCUGAAGGAACUACUGACAGAAGGCAGAAGAUUACAGUCCUGCACGACAGAUACCUCACCCCUCACUUCCUCCAAUCACAACCUGGAAGUCCCACUCCUUCUGCCUCGGACUGAAUAUUAAGGAUGUCCACAAUUCAAGUCAACAUUCAUCUGUGCGUGAAGAAGAACACACCAGGAAUGCCCUCUAUUGCUGAAAGAAGACCUUUCGUUGUUUUUGAUGCCAGGUGUAGUCAUUUUUUGCUUAUUGAAAUAUUUUCAUAUUACUCAUUACAUGAGGAAUACCUCCCAGCCCUCUUUCU